AUUGAACGCUGGCGGCAGGCCUAACACAUGCACGUCGAGCGAGCGGCGGACGGGUGAGUAAUGUAUGGGGACUGCCCGAUAGAGGGGGAUAAAUACUGGAAACGGUGGCUAAUACCGCAUACUAUCGGAUAACCCAUAUGGGAUUAGCUAGUAGGUGGGGUAAAGGCCCACCUAGGCGACUAUCUCUAGCUGGUCUGAGAGGAUGAUAAGCCACACUGGGACUGAGACACGCCCCAGACUCCUACGGAGGCUGCAGUGGGGAAGAUUGCACAAGGGGCGCAAGCCUGGUGCAGCCAUGCCGAGUGUAUGAAGAAGGCCUUAGGGUUGUAAAGUACUUUCAGCGGGGAAGCGUUACCCGCAGAAGAAGCACCGGCUAACUCCGUGCCAGCAGCCGCGGUAAUAC
This 403-nucleotide ribosomal RNA is filed under the name uncultured bacterium. RNAcentral's name for it is "partial 16S ribosomal RNA". It matches the Rfam family "Bacterial small subunit ribosomal RNA", at positions 30 to 526 of the family's 1533-position model. The record is from RNAcentral.